UCCAUAAAUUCAAAUGUCAUCAAGUCCUUAUUAUCUAUUUCAUGUGAAAAAAUCUAUAUACGGUUACACCAGGAUUUUCAGGAGGACCAACAGAUUCGAGAUGCACAGCAGAUCAUCCGGGCAGUGAUGCAGAUGCUUCUGCAGAGGUUUUUACAUGGGGAUUUUCAGGAGGAGCAAAAGUUGCUGGAUGCACAGCAGAGACCACAGGCAGCAGUGCAGAUUGAUCGAUGCUGCAGCAGAGCUUCCUUGAGAACCAUUUCUGACAUAAAUACAGGGCUGGAGAUUCUGAUGGGGAGGUAUUCAACUUCUUCAAAAUGCACUCUAAGGUGGCAACAGUGAUCUUCAGUGAGAGGUUUUUUCCAGUGGUGGCUGGCUCAGCGACUGAAAUAUCGGAAGAGCCCUCUCUGUGUGGGGGCUAGUGAGCAUGCAUGUUCAGUUCUUUUUCACAAGGCAAAGCCAACGGCAUACUACUGGUUGAGCCAAUCAGCAAGACAAGAAAGACAGCCUGGCUAGUAGCCAUGUCUGCCGCUCGGGCGGAUAAACCAAUCUGCCUUUCAGUCCCACCUUGCAAAUCCUAAACAUGCGCAUUGUGACCUGUUUUGCUGCAACCACCAGCCUACGAAGCCUAUCAGAAGCAACUUGUGACUGCCCAUUUCAAUGUCAAUAUUGGCCGUCGUCACACGGGCAUCUCUUCCGUUAAAUUUACAGCAUAUAACGUCCUUCCUGUUAUCGGCACAGUAACGUUUCUUUGGGUCACCUAACGGCUCUUCGCGCCACCAGCUGUCCACACCGAAGCACUCUGUUCUGUUCUCUCUAACUGCGCAGAAGCAGCUCCUCCCCCUUUUUUUAUUAUUCUGGCGUUUAAUUCCGCUAUAACGGAAUAACAGCAUAUAAACAUUCGGUUAGAGCAAAACAUUGCGACCCUUUUGUUUUUCCAACUUUGAAAUUAUAUAAAUAGCCCUUUGCCCGCAGAAAACUCCCUGUCUGACGUGAUCCCCAUCGCUGAAGACUCUGCCAUGGCGAUUGAGUCAUUUUUACUUCAGCAGAAAGUUUGCAUAGUGUUAAUGGCGUUAUAAGGACAUAAUAAAAUUUUAAAAAAGGGGGAGUCGCAGGAAGAAAUGGAUUCUGGGAUUGAAGGGAGGGCAUAGGACGUUGCGAGGCGAACUACAUCGAUGUGAGGCCUUCACACUGAGGCACAAAAUAGCGCGACUAUCAAGCACAAAGCAGAAGAGAGAAAAUCGCUACAGGGUUGGAAUAAGGUGGGUGUUUGCUGGGAAAUAGCGCCAUUUUAGCGCUAAAUAAAAGCCCGUGUGACGACGGCCAUUGUCUAUAAUCUCUGCAGCCUUUGAGGCUAGAGAUACCAGGGAUUUACAGCCCAAUCCUAAGAAGGGCACGGAAAGUGAACAGGAACCGAACUAAGGCUUGCGAGGGCGCAUCUAGCCCGUACGCCCGCGUAAGUGGCCUUCCGCCCGCGCUGGGACGUGGCGCUGGCCCGCCGGCGGGCCAGCACCGGUGCAAGCCACAGGCGCCCAGGCGGCGGCGCAGAAGUGGCGUAGAGCCCUACGCCGACGCAGGGGGGGGCGGGGAGCAAGGCGGGGUCAGAGUUAGUCCGCUCCCUAAGCUCCUCCAGAAGCGGGAACGCCCACAGCGGCGCAAAAAAGCUACGCCACGGAAAAAGAAGGCGUAGCCCAUAGGCGUCCAUGGAACGGCGAAAAAUCAGCCCCCUCUCUGAGCGCCUCGCCCCGCCCCUAUGGCCCGAAGGAGCAUAGGAUGAGAACUAUCCCGGGGACCAAUCAGCGUGCGCGCCCGGCGUGGACGAGCCCCCCUCUCUGCACCCAAUCACCUGCGACCGCGCCCUACAAAACAUCCGGCCAGCGCCACCCAAACCCCCAGGUAAGUGAGCACUCGGCCGGAGGCUCUGCCCGUCUGCUGAGUGGCAUUGCCCCUUUGAAAACCGAAACGGGCUGAGGGCAUUCACAUUGGCAGGCGCAGAAUUCACUCCGGGGACUUUGCGAAAAACUGGGGGAACUUCGCAUAAAGGGGAAGAGGUGCAAAUGUCUGCCUAACUCUCUUUCUACCGUGAUAGAAAGAAUGACUCCACAGCUAACUGAUGCAUGCUAGUUGCUUCUAACUAAGCACAAACAAACUAACCCUUCCGUGGCAGAAGGGAAUGACACUUUGCAAAUUAACCGCAUGCUCUCCCGUUUCCUUGCAGGUGCCCUGACUCUGGCGCUCCCACCUGGUGAUGACCGACGGAGCGCUGACAGGCACGUCCAGGGCAUGGCUGCUCCCCCGCGCCCCGCCCUCCCCAAACAUCUCUGACGGACGGUUGGCUGCAGCCCAGGAAGCACCGUCGCGCCGCAGCCUGCAUCCCAGCCCCGCCCCUCCGAGCGGGAAGGAGGGCUGUGUGGAAUGCUCCAGCUCCCUCGCCAGCCUAAACGCAAGCCCGCUCUUUCCAGUGCAAUAAAACGAGAUGUACAACAA
Molecule: long non-coding RNA, 2484 nt
Organism: Eublepharis macularius
Lineage: Eukaryota; Metazoa; Chordata; Lepidosauria; Squamata; Eublepharidae
Exons: 2
Source: RefSeq, a predicted model, not a curated record